AUAACCAAGCAGCACAUACACUUGUUGGUCAAGACUAUCACAUAUACAACCCAUUAUUCAACGAACAGGACACAAUUAUCCAAAAUAUCAUAAUUCAUAAAUAGCUGCUCAUAUGGCAUAUCCCAGUCUCAAAAUUCCGCGGGCAAUGAUGGCGCCGAAGUGUAAAAUUGUUCCAGGAACAGGACAAAAAUUAUCCAAAUUGUUAUGAGUCAAACUACAACUAUAUAGAGAUAAGCGUAGCUGCUCAAUAUGGCAUAUUGCAGUCUCAAAACUCUUCAGAAGGAUAAAGGGCCCAAAGUUGGUUAGAACCACAUCAUCUUCUACUCAUCCAUGCCCUCGAAUUCGAAUCUACGGCAUCUCGUCUUGUUUCCCGCAGUAUGCUCGAUACUUAAAAGCCUCUGCAUUUCGGCAGGAGGAUGGUAUCCAUAGCGCUGCAAAUAAAGAGCAAUAGCCAGGGUUACUUAAUAAACUUUCAACAUAUACAAUGACCACAGUACAGCAAAAAAUGCCAUUUACUCUGCUCUCAAGACAAGACAGUAAAAAUGCAAUUUACUCUGCCCUCGAGACAAUACAGUAAAAAUGCAAUUUACUCUGCUCUCAAGAGGACAAACAAUAUGCGGUUAUAAAAAAAAGGCAUAAUAGUUACAGUAUCUCUAACAACAAGUUGUUUUCUGAAGAAAGCACAAGAUGAAGAAACUCUUCGUCCAGAGAUCCAAUCGGUGACAGAACUUCCCAGGAGGAAUUCAAUGGCUGUCUGUCAUUCAUCUGUCCAAACAAGUUAGUAACUGAGAGAGAAUACGUGGGCAUGCAACAAGGCACUGGAUGAACGCCUAUCGUAGCACCUCAAAUAUUGAGUUGUUUUCUGAAGAUUCAAGACGAUAAACUUCAUUUCAGAGAUAAACUUCGUUUGGAUUCUUUGUGUAAGUCUAGUCAAGGGCACAUGGAACAUUUGAAACAUCUGCAAGCAAACAAAUGGGAGAAAUUCAAAAACCUCAACCACCCUUCUCCCUUUGAAGGAGCGAUUUCAUGCUGGGAUAGCUUCAAUCUGUAGCUUCUUCUCAUGCAUUUCAUCAAACACUUGACAAACGCACCAAUUGCCUUACCUUUGUCCAUAUCCACGAGGAAUCCCACGAAUAGGAAGUAGGCUAUGAUGAU
This 1155-nucleotide long non-coding RNA is filed under the name Triticum aestivum (bread wheat). Its description in RNAcentral is "long non-coding RNA (TAES_LNC013076)". Lineage: Eukaryota; Viridiplantae; Streptophyta; Magnoliopsida; Poales; Poaceae. The record is from RNAcentral.